RNAcentral lists this long non-coding RNA (471 nucleotides) under Papio anubis (olive baboon). RNAcentral describes it as "lncRNA (ENSPANG00000047964.1)". The record is from RNAcentral. Lineage: Eukaryota; Metazoa; Chordata; Mammalia; Primates; Cercopithecidae.
AUGGGGCCACUUGUAUGCAAAUUUUCUUCUCCCUCUGCCACCCCUGUGACAGCAAUACUAACCCCUCCGCUUCCUCCAUCUCCUCAGCCUACUCCACGUGAAGACGAUGAGGAUGAAGACCUUUAUAAUGAUCCAUUUCCACUUAAUGAAUUGAAAGACAUGGAUUAUGAAGGCUCCAGCAUUACUGAAUUUGUACUCGGUUUGCCGAGGUUUGGCUCAGCUCCGCAUCAGGGAGGGCCCAUAUGGAGACUCAAGAUCAGCCUGGACUCUCCGCAUGCUGGAUUCUCAAGGUCCCAGCCUCAGGCCUUACGGGACCAGCGGCUUCCACUUCCUGCUCUGGGAACCUGGACUCUCGGAACCCAAAUGCCAUACUACAAGGAAGCUUCAGCAGCCUCAGAGACACACGUGGGAAGGAGUUACGGUCCCUGGUCAGCAGCCUCUGCGGACAGUCAGCAUUUUGGAGCCAAAUAG